UGGGGAAUAUUGGACAAUGGGCGAAAGCCUGAUCCAGCCAUGCCGCGUGUGUGAAGAAGGUCUUCGGAUUGUAAAGCACUUUAAGUUGGGAGGAAGGGCAGUAAGCGAAUACCUUGCUGUUUUGACGUUACCGACAGAAUAAGCACCGGCUAACUCUGUGCCAGCAGCCGCGGUAAUACAGAGGGUGCAAGCGUUCAUCGGAAUUACUGGGCGUAAAGCGCGCGUAGGUGGUUCGUUAAGUUGAAUGUGAAAGCCCCGGGCUCAACCUGGGAACUGCAGCCGAAACUGGCGAGCUAGAGUAGGGCAGAGGGUGGUGGAAUUUCCUGUGUAGAGGUGAAAUGCGUAGAUAUAGGAAGGAACACCAGUGGCGAAGGCGACCACCUGGGCUCAUACUGACACUGAGGUGCGAAAGCGUGGGGAGCAAACAGG
Molecule: ribosomal RNA, 429 nt
Filed under: Pseudomonadota bacterium
Lineage: Bacteria; Pseudomonadati; Pseudomonadota
Description: Proteobacteria bacterium partial 16S ribosomal RNA
Rfam family: Bacterial small subunit ribosomal RNA
Source: RNAcentral